Molecule: ribosomal RNA, 406 nt
Filed under: uncultured bacterium
Lineage: Bacteria
Description: partial 16S ribosomal RNA
Rfam family: Bacterial small subunit ribosomal RNA
Source: RNAcentral
AUUGAACGCUGGCGGCAGGCCUAACACAUGCAAGUCGAACGAGUGGCGGACGGGUGAGUAAUGUCUGGGAAACUGCCUGAUGGAGGGGGAUACCUACUGGAAACGGUAGCUAAUACUGCAUACCACUAGAUGUGUCCAGAGGGGAUUAGCUUGUUGGUGGGGUAACGGCUCACCAAGGCGACGAUCCCUAGCGGGUCUGAGAGGAUGACCAGCCACACUGGAACGGAGACACGGUCCAGACGCCGACGGGAGGCAUCAGUGGGGAAUAUUGCACAAUGGACGCAAGCCUGAUGCAGCCAUGCCGCGUGUAUGAAGAAGGCCUUCGGGUUGUAAAGUACUUUCAGCGGGGAGGCGUUACCCGCAGAAGAAGCACCGGCUAACUCCGUGCCAGCAGCCGCGGUAAUAC